ACUAAUGUUAACGCCAGAUUGCAGCGAUCACCUCGAUCAUGGGGUUAACUCUGUUGCUGGAUGCCUCAAUGUCACAGGCAGACCAGCAACCGUCAAUAGCACUGUCCCAACACAUGUGAUCGCUGUGACAGCCAGUUACAGCGAUCACAGUGCUGCUGGGAUUUCUGAUCCUCCUCCCUCCACCUCUCUGUGUGUAGAGAAGUGGAGAGAGAUGGAUCGGUGCUGCAACAUUG
Non-coding RNA from Pelobates cultripes (western spadefoot toad), 233 nucleotides. Lineage: Eukaryota; Metazoa; Chordata; Amphibia; Anura; Pelobatidae. The record is from the annotation of a GenBank genome assembly.